This 440-nucleotide long non-coding RNA is filed under the name Panax ginseng (ginseng). RNAcentral's name for it is "long non-coding RNA (PGIN_LNC009670)". The record is from RNAcentral. Lineage: Eukaryota; Viridiplantae; Streptophyta; Magnoliopsida; Apiales; Araliaceae.
UUUAAACUCAUAGAACAUCUAAGAUCACAGUCAAAUUACCUACAUACUGUAUGCCUUAUGGUGCCAAUAUGGAUUCUUGCGAUUAAGGUGCAUAUCUUGCGGAUGCAGAUGCAAACUACUUUCAAUUAUCUUGAAAUUCUUUUUACUACUUGUUCAAGUAACUUCUAAGCUUAGACUAUAAAGACAUUCGCUAACAAAAGAUCGAAUGACUUCUUGUGGAAGUACAUAUUGCCUAAUAAGAUGCUACAUAUACACAUGCACUCAAGAAAAAUGUUCACAUCCUUCAUAAAACCUCUUUUUCAUCGGACCUCUUUCAUUUUUGGUACCAAACACAGUAUACUUGAUCAACAAUUCCAACCUGAUCAAGCAUCUCAAAAAUUGUUUUGGCUUGCUUCAUUUACAGCCCUAACACUCAUGUUCUACUUGCAAUUCGAUUCCUG